UGGAGGGUCUGCUAAUGGUAGGCAGCUGGUCUCUGGAACCAGUAAUGUAGGUUCGAAUCCUAUCCCUCCAG
RNAcentral lists this transfer RNA (71 nucleotides) under Candidatus Nealsoniibacteriota bacterium. RNAcentral describes it as "Candidatus Nealsonbacteria bacterium tRNA-Gln". It matches the Rfam family "tRNA". Rfam says of the family: Transfer RNA (tRNA) molecules are approximately 80 nucleotides in length. Their secondary structure includes four short double-helical elements and three loops (D, anti-codon, and T loops). Lineage: Bacteria; Candidatus Nealsoniibacteriota. The record is from RNAcentral.